RNAcentral lists this small nucleolar RNA (108 nucleotides) under Haemonchus placei. RNAcentral's name for it is "Small nucleolar RNA sn2524". It matches the Rfam family "Small nucleolar RNA sn2524". The record is from Rfam by way of RNAcentral. Lineage: Eukaryota; Metazoa; Nematoda; Chromadorea; Rhabditida; Trichostrongylidae.
CACUAGAUAGACCUACUCAAAACUUGUUGUAACUCCACUUUCACGAUCUUUCUUCAUUUGAAUUAGGAAUGCGUCAACGAAAUCGUCUCCUUCGCCUUGUAAAACGUG